This 1307-nucleotide long non-coding RNA is filed under the name Canis lupus familiaris (dog). Its description in RNAcentral is "lncRNA (ENSCAFG00000034862.3)". The record is from RNAcentral. Lineage: Eukaryota; Metazoa; Chordata; Mammalia; Carnivora; Canidae.
GCUGGGGUGGCUGGGGUGGGGAGUUCUUUCUGGACACUUGGAGCCCCUUGGGGGUUCUUUUGGUGCGUUGGGUGGAGGAGGGUGAGUCUGAGCGUCGGAAAGAGGAUGGAGAGCCCAGGGUGCGCCCCACCUCUGGUAGCGUAAAUGCGCUGAUCUCGUGGGGUUGACCCCCUACCCUUCGCCGAGCGUCUCCCGGGAGGACGGGAAACUGACAGAAACUCGAUGCCAAAGUGGAUGGUUCGCAUUGAUUGGCAGGGAAAGUGCAAACAAAGAGGCCCCACGCAAGUGUCCGAGCGCCUCGCGGGCUGCACAGCGGGGAGGGUCCCUCCCGAGGGCGACGAGGCGGGGGCGGAGGUGAGCGGGGACCGAGGUCUGGGUUCCCUCUCCCCCCGGCGCUCCGGGCUCCCCGCCCUUCGGGGGACGGAGGCGUAGUCCGGUGGCGAAGUUUGGCUGGUGCAAUUAUUAUUAUCAGCAUCUAGAAAGCAUCACACGGAGCAUUGACCUUCAUGCUGCAUUGUUCUUACUGGAUCCUCCUAUCCGUGAACAUUAUGCCAAGUACCAAUACAGCAUCAAGUCAUUUCUGGAUGGAAAGUUUUCAAACUUCUUCAUUUGGAGUUACUUAAACGUGAGGGUGUUGGGAUUUUUGAGGAUGCCUUCCCUAUGUGGAUUAUUACAGUUUGAUGACUGAUUCUCUGCCUCAAAGAAGAUUAUUUUGCUAUCUGGAAACUCAUGCCCACCUCUUUGACUUCGGGUCAAAAUUGCUUUCCUCACAGUCUGACUGGGAAAGUUGUAAAACAUUAGAAUGUCCUUCAGCGGUGGGCUGUGGAAUGUCAUUACUCUCAGGUGACUACGGAAGCAUUAGCACCCUGCAUGCUCAGGUGGCCCCCACUCCUACGGACACAGCUCUUUCACCUAUACGGUUUUCUUCUGUAUUUCCUGAUAUAAGUCUCCCCCUGACCCCACUGGAAUGCAUGGAUUUGCAUUUGUUCUUCCAGGAGUGUCUAACUGGAUGUCCUCUGCAAAUUCAUCAAAUGUGCCAUCUUUUCCAUCAUGUGGUCAUCCCUGGGAUCAUCAUCGAACAUCGUUCUCCACCACUCUGGUCCAUGGAUGGUUGUUCUCUUUUGUCCAUUCCAUCAAAUGUCCUGAACACUGUCAGAAGAGGGAAAAGGCUAAUGAUGCCAGGGUGUUGGAAGCCUGUCAUCUUAUCUGAGCACCUGCCAUGCCCAGCACAGUGCUUCAAGACCGACUUUCCGACAGACCGCCAGCUCUCAACUUCAACUGGGCAUGAAGGUCCCACUUAUGAGUAG